AGAGUCUUAGGUUAAUACUAAGACCAAGAGCCUUCAAAGCUCUUAGCGAAGGUGAAAUUCCUUCAGACUCUG
RNAcentral lists this transfer RNA (72 nucleotides) under Grammoplites scaber (rough flathead). Its description in RNAcentral is "tRNA-Trp". It matches the Rfam family "tRNA". From Rfam's summary of the family: Transfer RNA (tRNA) molecules are approximately 80 nucleotides in length. RNAcentral also lists the same sequence under 1 other name. Lineage: Eukaryota; Metazoa; Chordata; Actinopteri; Perciformes; Platycephalidae. The record is from RNAcentral.